AGCGAACGCUGGCGGCAGGCCUAACACAUGCAAGUCGAACGAACCUUUCGGGGUUAGUGGCGGACGGGUGAGUAACACGUGGGAACGUGCCUUUAGGUUCGGAAUAACUCAGGGAAACUUGUGCUAAUACCGAAUGUGCCCUUCGGGGGAAAGAUUAAUCGCCUUUAGAGCGGCCCGCGUCUGAUUAGCUAGUUGGUUGAGGUAAUGGCUCACCAAGGCGACGAUCAGUAGCUGGUCUGAGAGGAUGAUCAGCCACAUUGGGACUGAGACACGGCCCAAACGCGUACGGGAGGCAGCAGGGGGGAAGUUUGGGGAAGGGGGGAAAGGAUGAUCAAGCAAUACAGCGUGUGGGAUGAAGGCCCUCGGGGGGGAAAGCACAGUGGGGGGGAAAGAAAAGGAGUCGGCGAAUACCACGCGGGGAGGACGGUACCCGAAGAAGAAGCACCGGCUAACUUCGGG
Molecule: ribosomal RNA, 459 nt
Filed under: uncultured bacterium
Lineage: Bacteria
Description: partial 16S ribosomal RNA
Rfam family: Bacterial small subunit ribosomal RNA
Source: RNAcentral